This 414-nucleotide ribosomal RNA is filed under the name uncultured microorganism. RNAcentral's name for it is "bacterial SSU rRNA". It matches the Rfam family "Archaeal small subunit ribosomal RNA", at positions 459 to 872 of the family's 1478-position model. The record is from RNAcentral.
CAGCCGCCUCGGUAAUACCGGCGGCCCGAGUGGCGGUCACUAUUAUUGGGCUUAAAGCGUCCGUAGCCGGGUUGGGAAGUCCUCCGGGAAAUCUGGCCGCUUAACGGUCAGAAUGCCGGAGGAUACUCCCAGCCUAGGGAGCGGGAGAGGCCGAGGGGAUUCCCGGAGUAGGGGGGAAAUCCUAUAAUCCCGGGAGGACCACCUGUGGCGAAGGCGCUCGGCUGGAACGCGUCCGACGGUGAGGGACGAAGGCCAGGGGAGCAAACCGGAUUAGAUACCCGGGUAGUCCUGGCUGUAAACGAUGCGGACUUUGUGUCGGACAAGCUAUGAGCUUGUCCGGUGCCGGAGGGAAACCGUUAAGUCCGCCGCCUGGGGAGUACGGCCGCAAGGUUGAAACUUAAAGGAAUUGGCGGG